AAUGAACGCUGGCGGCGUGGUUAAGACAUGCAAGUCGAACGGGACUUCGUGAAGGGCAACCGGAUCGAAGUUCAGUGGCGAACGGGUGCGUAACACGUGAACAAUCUACCUCGAAGUGGGGAAUAGCUCGCCGAAAGGCGAAUUAAUACCGCAUGUGGUCGGGACUCGCAUGAGUCUCGACUAAAGUCAGGGACCGCAAGGCCUGACGUUUUGAGAGGAGUUCGCGGCCUAUCAGCUAGUUGGCGAGGUAACGGCUCACCAAGGCUAAGACGGGUAGCUGGUCUGAGAGGAUGAUCAGCC
This 300-nucleotide ribosomal RNA is filed under the name uncultured bacterium. Its description in RNAcentral is "bacterial SSU rRNA". It matches the Rfam family "Bacterial small subunit ribosomal RNA", at positions 29 to 309 of the family's 1533-position model. The record is from RNAcentral.